UGGUGGGCAUAAGCAGGAAGUUUACAACUUGUGGCGUGCUACAACUUGAAUCCUGUUUUUUUUAAAGCCUGUAUGUAUGUAUACUUUGGAAAAUGGCAUCAUUAAAAGUAUGCUGAAUUAGCUAUAGGUGUGUUCUGGAGUUAUACAGAGAGUUUGUUUCUAUGGCUUUAAGGACAUUAACUCACGAGGGACAUAGAUGGACAACGUACAUCUGAGUCACCAAAAAAAGGAGCCAAAGGGAUUAAUACACUGAGCAGCCAUUCAAAAACCAGCCUGAAACAGUGUUGAGCUUUGGACUGUGUUCACGGUGACCAUCUGCAAGCUGCUGCGCCCCAAGAACUGAGGCUCACUGGUCUAGAGGCAUGAUGGCAAAGCUGUUUGAUGCUGGCCCCAGAAUAAACAAAUCAUUUGACUGGACAGUCAUCAUAAAGGCAGUGAUUGAUGCCUGCUUAGUUUUUUUGCUUCUGUAUUGUUUGUUGUUUUGCAGCUCGAGUCUUACUGGGUUCACUGUUGACUUGCUUUCACAGUGAGGUCUGGAGCGGUGACUGUGUCCACUAUUUGCCUUAAACUUUUACUUCUCUUUAUCAAUAUCCUGUUAGUGCCAGUGAGUCGUUGUGCAUGGGCUGCCAUUUGUGUGCCUAUAUUAUUGAUUCCAACAUUCUUCUCUCUGUGUCAGGAUUAAUUAGGGGUAGAACUAGAUAAGUACUACGUCCUUCUACUCCCUUGCAAGCAUGUAAUGACUAAGCAUCAUCAAGAGAAAUUUCUAUUUUUUGGUUGUAUAUGGUAAUUGGUUUGGUUGUUUUGUGUUACAUGUU
Molecule: long non-coding RNA, 815 nt
Organism: Monopterus albus (swamp eel)
Lineage: Eukaryota; Metazoa; Chordata; Actinopteri; Synbranchiformes; Synbranchidae
Exons: 3
Source: RefSeq, a predicted model, not a curated record